This 285-nucleotide ribosomal RNA is filed under the name Triticum aestivum (bread wheat). RNAcentral describes it as "partial small subunit ribosomal RNA". Lineage: Eukaryota; Viridiplantae; Streptophyta; Magnoliopsida; Poales; Poaceae. The record is from RNAcentral.
AUGGUGGCAGACAUCCCUGGAACAACUGGUGUCAGCUUUGGCCAGGAGCUUGUAGUUUAUGAAAGACCGGAGCCAAGAUCCGGCAUCCACCGGAUGGUGUUUGUGCUGUUCCAGCAACUAGGUAGGGGGGCAGUUUUUGCGCCAGACAUGCGGCAAAACUUCAGCUGCAGGAGCCUCGCACGGCAGUACCACCUCAGCAUUGUGGCCGCGACAUAUUUCAACUGUCAAAUGGAAGGUGGAUGGGGCGGAAGAAGGUUUCGGCCAGAAAGUUCUCAAGGAGAGUAG